CUCGGUGUAGAAACUCUAUAGCUUCCUGUGCAGAUGAACAACCUCACAUCGGAAACUACAGACUGUUGAAAACAAUCGGCAAGGGGAAUUUUGCAAAAGUAAAAUUGGCAAGACAUAUCCUUACAGGCAGAGAGGUUGCAAUAAAAAUAAUUGACAAAACUCAGUUGAAUCCAACAAGUCUGCAAAAGCUCUUCAGAGAAGUAAGAAUAAUGAAGAUUUUAAAUCAUCCCAAUAUAGUGAAGUUAUUCGAAGUCAUUGAAACUGAAAAAACACUCUACCUAAUCAUGGAAUAUGCAAGUGGAGCACUAUUCCUGAUCAGAGAACUCCAGUUGCUUCAACACACAGUAUUAGUAGUGCAGCCACCCCGGAUCGAAUCCGUUUCCCAAGAGGCACUGCCAGUCGUAGCACUUUCCACGGCCAGCCCCGGGAACGGCGAACCGCAACAUAUAAUGGCCCUCCUGCCUCUCCCAGCCUGUCCCAUGAAGCCACACCGUUGUCCCAGACUCGAAGCCGAGGCUCCACUAAUCUCUUUAGUAAAUUAACUUCAAAACUCACAAGGAGUCGCAAUGUAUCUGCUGAGCAAAAAGAUGAAAACAAAGAAGCAAAGCCUCGAUCCCUACGCUUCACCUGGAGCAUGAAAACCACUAGUUCAAUGGAUCCCGGGGACAUGAUGCGGGAAAUCCGCAAAGUGUUGGAUGCCAAUAACUGCGACUAUGAGCAGAGGGAGCGUUUCUUGCUCUUCUGUG
Molecule: small RNA, 746 nt
Filed under: Pongo abelii (Sumatran orangutan)
Lineage: Eukaryota; Metazoa; Chordata; Mammalia; Primates; Hominidae
Description: processed transcript
Source: RNAcentral